Molecule: ribosomal RNA, 390 nt
Filed under: uncultured organism
Description: bacterial SSU rRNA
Rfam family: Bacterial small subunit ribosomal RNA
Source: RNAcentral
UGGAUAAGGCAUGCAAGUCGAGCGAUCUGUCGCAAGACAGGGAGCGGCAAACGGGGUAGUAAUAAGUUAGUAACCUACCUUCAAGAUUCGCAUAACCCACCGAAAGGUGGGCUAAUUCGAAAUGGCCUGAUAUUUGUACUUCAUUUAUCAGUAAAGGCAUUCGCGAGAAUGUCGCUUGGAGAAGGGCUGACUUCCUAUCAGCUAGUUGGCGAGGUAAGGGCUCACCAAGGCUAUGACGGGUAGGGGGCGUGAGAGCGUGUUCCCCACCAUCGGAACUGAGACACUGUCCGGACUCCUACGGGAGGCUGCAGUCAAGAACCUUCCCCAAUGGGCGAAAGCCUGAGGGAGCGACGCCGCGUGAACGAAGAAGUCCUUCGGGAUGUAAAGUUC